This 232-nucleotide ribosomal RNA is filed under the name uncultured bacterium. RNAcentral's name for it is "partial 16S ribosomal RNA". It matches the Rfam family "Bacterial small subunit ribosomal RNA", at positions 102 to 334 of the family's 1533-position model. The record is from RNAcentral.
ACGGGUGAGUAACGCGUAUCCAACCUGCCCACCACUUGGGGAUAACCUUGCGAAAGUAAGACUAAUACCCAAUGAUAUCUCUAGAAGACAUCUGAAAGAGAUUAAAGAUUUAUCGGUGAUGGAUGGGGAUGCGUCUGAUUAGCUUGUUGGCGGGGUAACGGCCCACCAAGGCAACGAUCAGUAGCCGACCUGAGAGGGUGAUCGGCCACAUUGGGACUGAGACACGGCCCAA